AGAGUUUGAUUCCUGGCUCAGGACGAACGCUGGCGGCGUGCUUAAUACAUGCAAGUCGAACGAGGUCCAUCCGAUCUUCGGAUUGGUGAAGACCUAGUGGCGAACGGGUGCGUAACACGUGAGAAACCUGCCCCGGUCUCUGGAAUAACAGUUGGAAACGGCUGCUAAUACCGGAUGCCGUCGGACCAUCGCAUGGUGGACCGACGAAAGGGUUACCGGACCGGGAGGGUCUCGCGGCCUAUCAGCUUGUUGGUGAGGUAACGGCUCACCAAGGCAUCGACGGGUAGCUGGUCUGAGAGGAUGAUCAGCCACACUGGGACUGAGACACGGCCCAGACUCCUACGGGAGGCAGCAGUAGGGAAUAUUGCACAAUGGGCGAAAGCCUGAUGCAGCAACGCCGCGUGCGGGAAGAAGGCCCUAGGGUUGUAAACCGCUUUCAGCAGGGAAGAAAAUGACGGUACCUGCAGAAGAAGGUGCGGCCAACUACGUGCCAGCAGCCGCGGUGACACGUAGGCACCAAGCGUUGUCCGGAUUUAUUGGGGCGUAAAGAGCUCGUAGGCGGUUCAGUAAGUCGGGUGUGAAAACUCUGGGGCUCAACCCCAGAGACGCCACUCGAUACUGCUGUGACUAGAGUGCGGUAGGGGGAGCGGGGAAUUCCUAGUGUAGCGGUGAAAUGCGCAGAUAUUAGGAGGAACACCAGUGGCGAAGGCGCCGCUCUGGGCCGUAACUGACGCUGAGGAGCGAAAGCGUGGGUAGCAAACAGGAUUAGAUACCCUGGUAGUCCACGCCGUAAACGUUGGGCACUAGUGUGGGUCUCAACCAACGAGAUCCGCGCCGUCGCUACGCAUUAAGUGCCCCGCCUGGGGGAGUACGGCCGCAAGGCUAAACUCAAGGAAUUGACGG
Molecule: ribosomal RNA, 903 nt
Filed under: uncultured marine bacterium
Lineage: Bacteria
Description: bacterial SSU rRNA
Rfam family: Bacterial small subunit ribosomal RNA
Source: RNAcentral